UACGUAGGGGGCGAGCGUUGUCCGGAAUUAUUGGGCGUAAAGAGCGUGUAGGCUGUUCGGUAAGUCUGCCGUGAAAACCUGAGGCUCAACCUCGGGCGUGCGGUGGAUACUGCCGGGCUAGAGGACGGUAGAGGCGAGUGGAAUUCCCGGUGUAGCGGUGAAAUGCGCAGAUAUCAGGAGGAACACCGGUGGCGAAGGCGGGUCUCUGGGCCGUAACUGACGCUGAGGAGCGAAAGCAUGGGGAGCGAACAGG
Molecule: ribosomal RNA, 253 nt
Filed under: uncultured bacterium
Lineage: Bacteria
Description: partial 16S ribosomal RNA
Rfam family: Bacterial small subunit ribosomal RNA
Source: RNAcentral